GCCGAAGUGGUGAAACUGGCAGACGCACUGGACUCAAAAUCCAGCGGUAGCGAUACCGUACCGGUUCGAUUCCGGUCUUCGGCA
This 84-nucleotide transfer RNA is filed under the name Ruminiclostridium cellulolyticum H10. Its description in RNAcentral is "Clostridium cellulolyticum H10 tRNA". It matches the Rfam family "tRNA". Rfam says of the family: Transfer RNA (tRNA) molecules are approximately 80 nucleotides in length. Their secondary structure includes four short double-helical elements and three loops (D, anti-codon, and T loops). Further hydrogen bonds mediate the characteristic L-shaped molecular structure. tRNAs have two regions of fundamental functional importance: the anti-codon, which is responsible for specific mRNA codon recognition, and the 3' end, to which the tRNAs corresponding amino acid is attached (by aminoacyl-tRNA synthetases). tRNAs cope with the degeneracy of the genetic code in two manners: having more than one tRNA (with a specific anti-codon) for a particular amino acid; and 'wobble' base-pairing, i.e. permitting non-standard base-pairing at the 3rd anti-codon position. The record is from Rfam by way of RNAcentral. Lineage: Bacteria; Bacillati; Bacillota; Clostridia; Eubacteriales; Oscillospiraceae.